ACGCUGGCGGCAUGCCUAACACAUGCAAGUCGAACGAGACCUUCGGGUCUAGUGGCGCACGGGUGCGUAACGCGUGGGAAUCUGCCCUGGGGUGCGGAAUAACUCGGAGAAAUCCGUGCUAAUACCGCAUAAUGUCUUCGGACCAAAGAUUUAUCGCCCUGGGAUGAGCCCGCGUAGGAUUAGCUAGUUGGUGGGGUAAAGGCCUACCAAGGCGACGAUCCUUAGCUGGUCUGAGAGGAUGAUCAGCCACACUGGGACGGAGACACGGCCCAGACUCCUACGGGAGGCAGCAGUGGGAAUAUUGGACAAUGGGCGAAAGCCUGAUCCAGCAAUGCCGCGUGAGUGAUGAAGGCCCUAGGGUUGUAAAGCUCUUUUACCCGGGAUGAUAAUGACAGUACCGGGAGAAUAAGCUCCGGCUAACUCCGUG
This 427-nucleotide ribosomal RNA is filed under the name uncultured bacterium. RNAcentral describes it as "bacterial SSU rRNA". It matches the Rfam family "Bacterial small subunit ribosomal RNA", at positions 33 to 507 of the family's 1533-position model. The record is from RNAcentral.